UUGACCUCAAAUCGGGUGAGACUACCCGCUGAACUUAAGCAUAUCAUAGCGGAGGAAAGAACUAACAAGGAUCCCCUAGUAACUGCGAGU
RNAcentral lists this ribosomal RNA (90 nucleotides) under uncultured ectomycorrhiza (Lactarius pseudomucidus). RNAcentral's name for it is "partial 28S ribosomal RNA". It matches the Rfam family "Eukaryotic large subunit ribosomal RNA", at positions 1 to 94 of the family's 3401-position model. The record is from RNAcentral. Lineage: Eukaryota; Fungi; Basidiomycota; Agaricomycetes; Russulales; Russulaceae.